AUAACACUGACGUCAUGCUCGAAAGCGUGGGUAGCAAACAGGAUUAGAUACCUGGUAGUCCACGCCCUAAACGAUGUCAAUUAGCUGUUGGGCAACUUGAUUGCUUAGUAGCGUAGCUAACGCGUGAAAUUGACCGCUGGGGAGUACGGUCGCAAGAUUAAAACUCAAAGGAAUUGACGGGGACCCGCACAAGCGGUGGAUGAUGUGGAUUAAUUCGAUGCAACGCGAAGAACCUUACCUGGUCUUGACAUGUACGGAAUCCUCCAGAGACGGAGGAGUGCUUUCGGGAGCCGUAACACAGGUGCUGCAUGGCUGUCGUCAGCUCGUGUCGUGAGAUGUUGGGUUAAGUCCCGCAACGAGCGCAACCCUUGUCAUUAGUUGCCAUCAUUAAGUUGGGCACUCUAAUGAGACUGCCGGUGACAAGCCGGAGGAAGGUGGGGAUGACGUCAAGUCCUCAUGGCCCUUAUGACCAGGGCUUCACACGUCAUACAAUGGUCGGUACAGAGGGUAGCCAAGCCGCGAGGUGGAGCCAAUCUCACAAAACCGAUCGUAGUCCGGAUUGCACUCUGCAACUCGAGUGCAUGAAGUCGGAAUCGCUAGUAAUCGCAGGUCAGCAUACUGCGGUGAAUACGUUCCCGGGUCUUGUACACACCGUCCGCCACACCAUGGGAGUGGGGGAUACCAGAAGUAGGUAGGGUAACCGCAAGGAGCCCGCUUACCACGGUAUGCUUCAUGACUGGGGUGAAGUCGUAACAAGGUAACCAAGGGCGAAUUCUG
This 777-nucleotide ribosomal RNA is filed under the name uncultured Neisseria sp. RNAcentral describes it as "bacterial SSU rRNA". It matches the Rfam family "Bacterial small subunit ribosomal RNA", at positions 734 to 1515 of the family's 1533-position model. Lineage: Bacteria; Pseudomonadati; Pseudomonadota; Betaproteobacteria; Neisseriales; Neisseriaceae. The record is from RNAcentral.